CUUGCUUAAAAAAAGAUAGAUGCAGUUCGGCCAAGAUAUGUUCCGAAAGAAACAUGGAAAAGUCGGUUGAGACUUUGAAAAGAUCCCAAGGUUAUUGAAAAGUUAAAAAAUGAACUCAAAAAAUCAGUGUGGCGGUCAAAACAUAAAUCUAUUUUAUAUGUGUGAUCUUAACCCUUCGGAUCGCUGAAGUGCCUUUGUAUUAAGUUUGCAAUCCCACAAUUCGAG
RNAcentral lists this unclassified non-coding RNA (225 nucleotides) under Hevea brasiliensis (rubber tree). Lineage: Eukaryota; Viridiplantae; Streptophyta; Magnoliopsida; Malpighiales; Euphorbiaceae. The record is from RNAcentral.